Molecule: ribosomal RNA, 508 nt
Filed under: uncultured bacterium
Lineage: Bacteria
Description: partial 16S ribosomal RNA
Rfam family: Bacterial small subunit ribosomal RNA
Source: RNAcentral
GACGAACGCUGGCGGCGUGCCUAAUACAUGCAAGUCGAACGCUUCUUUCCUCCCGAGUGCUUGCACUCAAUUGGAAAGAGGAGUGGCGGACGGGUGAGUAACACGUGGGUAACCUACCCAUCAGAGGGGGAUAACACUUGGAAACAGGUGCUAAUACCGCAUAACAGUUUAUGCCGCAUGGCAUAAGAGUGAAAGGCGCUUUCGGGUGUCGCUGAUGGAUGGACCCGCGGUGCAUUAGCUAGUUGGUGAGGUAACGGCUCACCAAGGCCACGAUGCAUAGCCGACCUGAGAGGGUGAUCGGCCACACUGGGACUGAGACACGGCCCAGACUCCUACGGGAGGCAGCAGUAGGGAAUCUUCGGCAAUGGACGAAAGUCUGACCGAGCAACGCCGCGUGAGUGAAGAAGGUUUUCGGAUCGUAAAUCUCUGUUGUUAGAGAAGAACAAGGACGUUAGUAACUGAACGUCCCCUGACGGUAUCUAACCAGAAAGCCACGGCUAACUACGUG